This 323-nucleotide long non-coding RNA is filed under the name Phaseolus vulgaris (common bean). RNAcentral describes it as "long non-coding RNA (PVUL_LNC001278)". Lineage: Eukaryota; Viridiplantae; Streptophyta; Magnoliopsida; Fabales; Fabaceae. The record is from RNAcentral.
GGAGGUUCACAUGACGACAAUCACUAUAUCAACAUUCAUCAAAAGUCUUACUAAAUCUGAAACUGCACUACCUCUCACACACUAUUUGCACAGAAUCGCAUGCCAUUUUCACAAAAUCGAUGCACCACUGCAUCGCACGCUGCAUCACCAAGCCCGUAUGCCCCACACAGUUGCUCUUUCGCGCUGCACCACGCGAUCCGUAUGCGUCGCAGCGAGCGUGCGCACCACUGAACUCGUCCGCGCAGCACAAUUGCUCUUCUAUGAGCGCCUCCACCAUGGGCCUCCUCUGUUGGGUCACUACAAAAAAAAUCACUUUUAGCGAC